This is a long non-coding RNA of Papaver somniferum (opium poppy), 454 nucleotides long. RefSeq lists it as uncharacterized. The transcript is spliced from 3 exons. Lineage: Eukaryota; Viridiplantae; Streptophyta; Magnoliopsida; Ranunculales; Papaveraceae. The record is from RefSeq and is a predicted model, not a curated record.
UGAGAAAAAACGAAAUAAAUUUAUUUUGUAUUGAUUGUCGUAAACCUACUUGCCAGCAUUGUAUUUCUUCUUUGUCGCCGCAUUUUCUUCAUCGAAGUCUUAAGAUUAAAAAAUAUGUUUGUGGAAUCUGGUUCGGAUCGAUGAUAUGCAAAAAUACUUCGACUGCUCUGAAAUUCAAACUUAUCUGUUAUCUGGUGCAAGAGUCAUAUUUUUGAAUCCUCGAUCAGGAUCAAUAAUUAAACGAUACAAGGAUGGUGCUUAUUGUAAAGUGUGUGACAGAAGUUUAACUGAUCAUCCGAAUAAAUAUUGCUGCAUGCGAUGCAAGAUUUCAGAUUGUGAGGAUAUCUCUAAAGAUUUUGAACAAAAAUGCCGACUCUAAUGACGAGGAUUACUUCUGCGCUUCGGAAUCUAUUAUGAUAAUAGAAGCGAGGUCUAAUAAGAUUCUCUAUUUAUU